UACGGAGGAUGCAAGCGUUAUCCGGAAUGAUUGGGCGUAAAGCGUCCGCAGGUGGUGUUGUAAGUCUGUUGUUAAAGCGUGCGGCAUAACCGCAUAAGGGCGAUGGAAAUUACAAGACUAGAGUGCGUUAGGGGUAGAGGGAAUUCCUUGUGUAGCGGUGAAAUGCGUAGAGAUCAGGAAUAACACUAGUGGCGAAAGCGCUCUACUAUGCCGCAACUGACACUGAGGGACGAAAGCUAUGGGAGCGAAUGGG
RNAcentral lists this ribosomal RNA (253 nucleotides) under uncultured bacterium. Its description in RNAcentral is "partial 16S ribosomal RNA". It matches the Rfam family "Bacterial small subunit ribosomal RNA", at positions 524 to 776 of the family's 1533-position model. The record is from RNAcentral.